AACGAACGCUGGCGGCAGGCCUAACACAUGCAAGUCGAGCGAACCCUUCGGGGUUAGCGGCGGACGGGUUAGUAACGCGUGGGAAUAUACCCUUUGGUACGGAAUAGCCUCGGGAAACUGAGAGUAAUACCGUAUGUGCCCCUUCGGGGGAAAGAUUUAUCGCCAAAGGAUUAGCCCGCGUUGGAUUAGAUAGUUGGUGGGGUAAUGGCCUACCAAGUCUACGAUCCAUAGCUGGUUUGAGAGGAUGAUCAGCAACACUGGGACUGAGACACGGCCCAGACUCCUACGGGAGGCAGCAGUGGGGAAUCUUAGACAAUGGGCGCAAGCCUGAUCUAGCCAUGCCGCGUGGACGAUGAAGGCCUUAGGGUUGUAAAGUCCUUUCAGAUGGGAAGAUAAUGAUGGUACCAUCAGAAGAAGCCCGGCUAACUCCGUGCCAGCCAGCCGCGGUAAACGUA
Molecule: ribosomal RNA, 455 nt
Filed under: uncultured bacterium
Lineage: Bacteria
Description: bacterial SSU rRNA
Rfam family: Bacterial small subunit ribosomal RNA
Source: RNAcentral